Molecule: long non-coding RNA, 168 nt
Organism: Octopus sinensis (East Asian common octopus)
Lineage: Eukaryota; Metazoa; Mollusca; Cephalopoda; Octopoda; Octopodidae
Exons: 4
Source: RefSeq, a predicted model, not a curated record
UAUUUAUAUUUUUUCUUUCCUUUUCCGCCUACCAACUUGAAACACUUGCGUGGUAAGGCGUAAAGCCUAACUCUUGUUAUAAUUAUAAAUAUAUAAUUAUAAAAUAUUUUGUAAAAUGUAUCUAUAAGGUUUUAUUUCCGCACUGACCACCUGGUAAAAUUUUUUUUU